This is a long non-coding RNA of Drosophila yakuba, 268 nucleotides long. RefSeq lists it as uncharacterized. The transcript has 2 exons. NCBI's taxonomy places the organism in Eukaryota, Metazoa, Arthropoda, Insecta, Diptera, Drosophilidae. The record is from RefSeq and is a predicted model, not a curated record.
UGAGUAUCGCUAACGGCCCCCCUCCUGCCGCCUUUGACAUACGGUUGAUUAACCUUUGACCCUCUUCUGCAGUUAACUAUUUUCGGGCAUUUAUCGCAAGCACUGUGUUGGCAAAUGGAGAUGAUUUCGACGGGAUUACCCCUGACUGGAUGUGUAUUGAGGAUCGCUGCGCUUUGCAACCCUCGGUAUCCCAGCCAUUUCUUCCUCUCGAUCAAGGAGCACAGAUAAUGAUAACUGUCAAGUCUGAUUGAAAGCCAUGUCUGUUAUC